RNAcentral lists this ribosomal RNA (253 nucleotides) under uncultured bacterium. RNAcentral's name for it is "partial 16S ribosomal RNA". It matches the Rfam family "Bacterial small subunit ribosomal RNA", at positions 524 to 776 of the family's 1533-position model. The record is from RNAcentral.
UACGUAGGGGGCAAGCGUUGUCCGGAUUUAUUGGGCGUAAAGAGCGUGUAGGCGGCCAAAUAGGUCGGUUGUGAAAACUGGAGGCUUAACCUCCAGACGUCGACCGAAACCAUCUGGCUAGAGUCCGGAAGAGGAGAGUGGAAUUCCUGGUGUAGCGGUGAAAUGCGCAGAUAUCAGGAGGAACACCGGUGGCGAAGGCGGAUCUCUGGGCCAUUACUGACGCUGAGGAGCGAAAGCGUGGGGAGCGAACAGA